RNAcentral lists this transfer RNA (73 nucleotides) under Acidobacteriota bacterium. RNAcentral's name for it is "tRNA-OTHER". Lineage: Bacteria; Pseudomonadati; Acidobacteriota. RNAcentral also lists the same sequence under 1 other name. The record is from RNAcentral.
GUUUCGUUGAAUUACUCCGAUUCCCUUCUCUUUCACGGCGGCGACACGGGUUCGACUCCCGUACGGGACGCCA